GAUGAAGAACGCAGCGAAAUGCGAUAAGUAGUGUGAAUUGCAGAAUUCAGUGAAUCAUCGAAUCUUUGAACGCACAUUGCGCCCCUUGGUAUCCCGAGGGGCAUGCCUGUUCGAGCGUCAUUUCACCACUCAAGCCUGGCUUGGUGUUGGGCGACGUCCCCUUUGGGGACGCGCCUCGAAACGCUCGGCGGCGUGGCACCGGCUUUAAGCGUAGCAGAAUCUUUCGCUUUGGAAGUCGGGGCCCCGUCUGCCGGAAGACCUACUCGCAAGGUUGACCUCGGAUCAGGCAGGGAUACCCGCUGAACUUAAGCAUAUCAAUAAGCGGAGGA
RNAcentral lists this unclassified non-coding RNA (329 nucleotides) under soil metagenome. Its description in RNAcentral is "partial contains 5.8S ribosomal RNA, internal transcribed spacer 2, and large subunit ribosomal RNA". The stretch from base 1 to 120 matches the Rfam family "5.8S ribosomal RNA", at positions 35 to 154 of the family's 154-position model. The record is from RNAcentral.